RNAcentral lists this ribosomal RNA (497 nucleotides) under uncultured bacterium. RNAcentral's name for it is "partial 16S ribosomal RNA". It matches the Rfam family "Bacterial small subunit ribosomal RNA", at positions 28 to 507 of the family's 1533-position model. The record is from RNAcentral.
GAUGAACGCUGGCGGCGUGCCUAAUACAUGCAAGUCGAGCGAACAGACGCUGAGCUUGCUCCUCUCACGUUAGCCGCAGACGGGUGUGUAACGCGUGUAUAACCCACCUAUCUGACUGAUAUAACUUCGGGAAUCCGGAUCUAAUCCCGUAUAAUCUCUUGCACCGCAGUGUUCAAUGGUAAGAGUCGGCUUUUCUGUCACUUCUCGCUGGUUCUGCGCCGCAUUAGCUAGUUGUUAAGGUAACGGCUUACCAAGGCAACGAUGCGUAGCCGAACUGAGAGGGUGAUCGGCGACACUGGAAGGGAGACACGGUCCAGACUCCUAAGGGAGGCAGCAGUAGGGAAUCGUCCGCAAUAGGCGAAAGCCUGACGCAGCAACGCCGCGUGAGUGAUGAAAGUCUUCGGAUCGUAAAGAUCUGUUAUUAGGGAAGAACCGAUGUGUAAGUAACUAUGCCCGUCGUGACGGUAACUGAUCAGAAAGCAACGGCUAACUACGUG